This is a non-coding RNA of Salmo salar (Atlantic salmon), 72 nucleotides long. The record is from Rfam. Lineage: Eukaryota; Metazoa; Chordata; Actinopteri; Salmoniformes; Salmonidae.
CCCCUUGUGGCUCAGUUGGUAGAGCAUGGUGUUUGCAACGCCAGGGUUGUGGGUUCGAUUCCCACGGGGGGC